CUUGACAUCCAGAGAAUUUAGCAGAGAUGCUUUAGUGCCUUCGGGAACUCUGAGACAGGUGCUGCAUGGCUGUCGUCAGCUCGUGUUGUGAAAUGUUGGGUUAAGUCCGCAACGAGCGCAACCCUUAUCCUUUGUUGCCAGCACGUAAUGGUGGGAACUCAAAGGAGACUGCCGGUGAUAAACCGGAGGAAGGUGGGGAUGACGUCAAGUCAUCAUGGCCCUUACGAGUAGGGCUACACACGUGCUACAAUGGCGCAUACAAAGAGAAGCGACCUCGCGAGAGCAAGCGGACCUCAUAAAGUGCGUCGUAGUCCGGAUUGGAGUCUGCAACUCGACUCCAUGAAGUCGGAAUCGCUAGUAAUCGUAAAUCAGAAUGUUACGGUGAAUACGUUCCCGGGCCUUGUACACACCGCCCGUCACACCAUGGGAGUGGGUUGCAAAAGAAGUAGAUAGCUUAACCUUCGGGAGGGCGUUUACCACUUUGUGGUUCAUGACUGGGGUGAAGUCGUAACAAGGUAAGCGUAGUGCU
Molecule: ribosomal RNA, 529 nt
Filed under: uncultured bacterium
Lineage: Bacteria
Description: bacterial SSU rRNA
Rfam family: Bacterial small subunit ribosomal RNA
Source: RNAcentral